Long non-coding RNA from Cynoglossus semilaevis (tongue sole), 1701 nucleotides. RefSeq lists it as uncharacterized. Lineage: Eukaryota; Metazoa; Chordata; Actinopteri; Pleuronectiformes; Cynoglossidae. The record is from RefSeq and is a predicted model, not a curated record. The transcript is spliced from 3 exons.
AUGAGAGAGUGAGAGGUGGGGGUGGGGAGUGAUGGAGGUGACGUCAGGCCUCCGCUGGGCUGUCAGCCCUCCUAUUGGUCGGAGGGAGGCUUUUAAAAAGAGCAGGCAGCGCUGAAGCGCACACAGGAGACUCGAGCCGCUCUCCGUGACGCACCGCGGAACCUCUUCACCGCACUGCCACUCCGUCUCCCACUGAGCACCGGAGCGGGACUGACAGCAUCCAGGUGCAAACGCGACCACCCUGUUGCCCCGGCGCGGCGCCCGACUGACAGAGCAGAAUUCAACAGGCCGAGGCAGAGUUCCUGAGUGAGAAGCAAAACGUCGCCGCGUUCCACCUGCACACAGUGAGUAACCGUCGGCACAUCGGCCAUCUGCCGUCUCAACACACACACACACACACACACACACACACCGCUUCAGUCGCAGCGCUGACAUUCCUAGUUCUGUGCCUGGAACCGUUGAAGGUUCUGACGGCGUAAAAUUGUAAUUUUUUUUUUUUUUUACUUUUCGAUUUAGUGAAAAUGUCAGGUUUUGUUUUGUCUGUGAGUCUGUCUGCGGGUGAAAGACCCCCGUGAUGUGAUUUUUGUGAUCUUAAUGUGCCGCCUUUCACACAGCAGGUGUGUCACUUCAUCUGAACAGUGUGUGUGUGUGUGUGUGUGUGUGUGUGUACGUGUGUGUGUUUGUGUCAAGGAUGAAAAUUUAAAAAAAAGGGAGAAAAACAAAAAGCUUUCUGUCACUGUGAAACACCUCACAGUGCUGCGCUAAUUUAUUGUCGCUAAUCUUUCUGAACUGAACUUAUCGUAAACGAAUCAAAUGUUAAUUACAUGUAUUUAUUUUUGGCCACUUUUUGUUUGGCUAACACUUUGUCACUGCGCUAAAAGAUGUGUCAAAAAUAGUUGAAGUAACGAUCGACUACAUUUUCUGUCAGAUAGCAUCGGGAUAUCGAUUUGUCCUGUAGCUCAUUAGGAGCUAACAGCGUAAAAAAAAAAAGAUUCACAGAUUCACAGAUAGCUGGAUAGAAAAUAAAAGGCUAAAAGUUAGCUCCCCAAACACAAAGAGUUGGCUAAUAAAUAACCAAAACUAACAAAAUAUAAAACUUAGCUCGUUCUGGCUUUAUUAACCAGUUAAAGCUACAUCUGUGUUAGCCACAGCGCAGCUAACAGAAUAUAGUUAAUGUGACGUUAGCUACUUGUUUACAUAUUUGUAUCUAUUUUGAAAGAUUCUUCAGGUUUUUUUCCCCAACUAAACGUAUCUUAAAGAUUAAACGAUAAAAAAAAAAAGUAAAAUCACUUUAAGGCUAAAAUUAAGUUUUACGACAGCUUUACAUUUUUCCCUGAUAUUUUGACCAAAAACGUGUCAUUGUUGUCAACGUUUUGUCCAAAACUUCAAGAACAGAAUUUAUGUUUCUUUUUAUUCGUUUUUUUUUUUUUUGCAUCAACGUAUGUGUGUGUGUGAGUGAGUGUGUGUGUGUGUGUGUCUUUGCCUGGCGUGUGUUUACAAUCCAAGGUUAUUCACUCGCACCACAUGGAUCCGUCCCAUGUCCUGAUCGCCAUGGUUACAGGCCCCACUUAUCACAAAGGGCCCCAGCAGAUCAGACAGGUGUGUGUCCUGAAGAUGUCUCUCCCCGACAACUGUUGCCAGGAACCUUUGUUGCAGAUAAUGCACAGGUGUUUGUCCUCGGCACCGAAAUCAGUGGGAGCG